AGCAGCCGCGGUAAUUCCAGCUCCAAUAGCGUAUAUUAAAGUUGUUGCAGUUAAAAAGCUCGUAGUUGAAUUUCGAGAUCAAUUUGCUGGUCGUGCCUCGGUACGUACUGGCAAUUUUGAUUUCUCCCUUCUGAAGAACCAUGAUGUCAUUAAUUUGGUGUCAUGGGGAAUCAGGACUGUUACUUUGAAAAAUUAGAGUGUUUAAAGCAGGCUCGCGCUUGAAUACAUUAGCAUGGAAUAAUGAAAUAGGACGUUUGAUUCUAUUUUGUUGGUUUCUAGGAUCGACGUAAUGAUUAAUAGGGAUAGUUGGGGGCAUUAGUAUUCAAUUGUCAGAGGUGAAAUUCUUGGAUUUAUUGAAGACUAACUACUGCGAAAGCAUUUGCCAAGGAUGUUUUCAUUAAUCAAGAACGAAAGUUAGGGGAUCGAAGACGAUCAGAUACCGUCGUAGUC
This 450-nucleotide ribosomal RNA is filed under the name uncultured Glomeromycotina. RNAcentral describes it as "SSU rRNA". It matches the Rfam family "Eukaryotic small subunit ribosomal RNA", at positions 569 to 1025 of the family's 1831-position model. The record is from RNAcentral. Lineage: Eukaryota; Fungi; Glomeromycota.